This 257-nucleotide ribosomal RNA is filed under the name uncultured bacterium. Its description in RNAcentral is "partial 16S ribosomal RNA". It matches the Rfam family "Bacterial small subunit ribosomal RNA", at positions 355 to 629 of the family's 1533-position model. The record is from RNAcentral.
UGGGGAAUAUUGCACAAUGGGCGAAAGCCUGAUGCAGCAACGCCGCGUGAGUGAUGAAGGUCUUCGGAUUGUAAAGCUCUGUCUUUUGGGACGAUAAUGACGGUACCAAAGGAGGAAGCCACGGCUAACUACGUGCCAGCAGCCGCGGUAAUACGUAGGUGGCGAGCGUUGUCCGGAUUUACUGGGCGUAAAGGGUGCGUAGGCGGAUGUUUAAGUGAGAUGUGAAAUACCCGGGCUUAACUUGGGUGCUGCAUUUC